RNAcentral lists this ribosomal RNA (439 nucleotides) under uncultured bacterium. Its description in RNAcentral is "partial 16S ribosomal RNA". It matches the Rfam family "Bacterial small subunit ribosomal RNA", at positions 339 to 795 of the family's 1533-position model. The record is from RNAcentral.
CUACGGGCUGCUGCAGUGAGGAAUAUUGCACAAUGGGGGGAACCCUGAUGCAGCAACGCCGCGUGGAGGAUGACGCAUUUCGGUGUGUAAACUCCUUUUAUAUGUCAAGAAAAUGACGGUAGCAUAUGAAUAAGCACCGGCUAACUCCGUGCCAGCAGCCGCGGUAAUACGGAGGGUGCAAGCGUUACUCGGAAUCACUGGGCGUAAAGGACGCGUAGGCGGGUUGGAAAGUCAGGUGUGAAAUCCUACAGCUUAACUGCAGAACUGCACUUGAAACUUCUAAUCUAGAGUAUGGGAGGGGGAGAUGGAAUUAGUGGUGUAGGGGUAAAAUCCGUAGAUAUCACUAGGAAUACCUAAAGCGAAGGCGAUCUCCUGGAACAUUACUGACGCUAAGGCGUGAAAGCGUGGGGAGCAAACAGGAUUAGAUACCCCUGUAGUC